This 1301-nucleotide ribosomal RNA is filed under the name Ridgeia piscesae. RNAcentral describes it as "16S ribosomal RNA". It matches the Rfam family "Bacterial large subunit ribosomal RNA", at positions 581 to 2767 of the family's 2925-position model. The record is from RNAcentral. Lineage: Eukaryota; Metazoa; Annelida; Polychaeta; Sabellida; Siboglinidae.
AAUAUCCUAAACCCUCUAUUUUUCUUUAAACUUGAAUAAAAAUCUAUCUACAACUCUAUCAUCCCAAAUCUCCGCUAUCUUAGUACUGCAAAGGAAAUUAUAAAUUAUUAAUAAGUAAAAAUAAAACCUUAUACCUCGUGCAUUAUGGCUUAGCAAGCCAACUCUAAUUCUAGCCUAUCCCGAAAUCUUCACGAGCUGAUAAACAUUUGUAUAAGAACUCACUACCGCAUGUUUCAAAAUGCCUAGAAAAAUUUUAUCAGAAGCUACAUACCUACCGCGCAAGACUAUAGCUGGUUCCCUAAAAGCUUCACAUUAGUGAAACAAGAUAUAUUCUCUGAUAAAUAAUAAAGGAAAAGCUCUAUUAUAAAAGCUAAUUUCGAAUCCUACCCCCUAAAGUAAGCUUAGAAACUGCUAACUUUUAAAUAACGUUAUAGUAUAAAAACUCUUUUUACAAAAUCAUAAACAAAUUGCUACAACCUAUUAGGGAUUAUUUAUCAACUUUCCUAAAUAAAAAUUCUGCUAAGAUUAGUAUUCAUUCCCUCCUACAACACCUAUAAAACCCCCUUUCCCCCAAAAAUGAAAUUCCUUAUUAUAAGGAACUCGGCAAAUACAAGCUCCGACUGUUUAACAAAAACAUUGCCUCUUGAUUUAUAAAUAAGAGGUUCAUCCUGCCCAAUGACUUUAGUUCAAUGGCCGCGGUACCCUGACCGUGCAAAGGUAGCAUAAUCACUUGCCCCUUAAUUAGGGGCUGGCAUGAAUGGACACACGAAAGCUUAACUGUCUCAUAAUAACUAAUAAAAAUUAAUCUUUAAGUGAAAAAGCUUAAAUUCCAUUGCAGGACAAGAAGACCCCGUUGAGCUUUAUUCUCUAUAGACCACCACUAAUAUUUACUAUAUCAUAAACCUAAAAAAGAAUUUAGUUGGGGUGACUAAGGAACAUCAAAAUCUUCCUUUUAUUAACCAGGGCUAUUACCCAAAACAAUUGACCCAUAACCAUGAACAAAAAAAUAAGCUACCACAGGGAUAACAGGCUAAUCUUUCUCAAGAGCCCAAAUUGUCAGAAAGGAUUGGCACCUCGAUGUUGGCUUAGGGGCCCCUAAUAGUGCAGAAGCUAUUAAUGGUAGGUUUGUUCAACCUUUAAAACCCUACAUGAGCUGAGUUCAGACCGGCGUAAGCCAGGUUAGUUUCUAUCCUCAAUAUAAAUCUUUACAUAAUAGUACGAAAGGACCUUACUGUAAUAAAAACUUUAACCUCUAUGAAAUCAACUAAACCCUUUUAACAAAAAUUCUCUAGAAAAAAUAU